This 465-nucleotide ribosomal RNA is filed under the name uncultured Klebsiella sp. RNAcentral's name for it is "bacterial SSU rRNA". It matches the Rfam family "Bacterial small subunit ribosomal RNA", at positions 338 to 795 of the family's 1533-position model. Lineage: Bacteria; Pseudomonadati; Pseudomonadota; Gammaproteobacteria; Enterobacterales; Enterobacteriaceae. The record is from RNAcentral.
CCUACGGGUGGCAGCAGUGGGGAAUAUUGCACAAUGGGCGCAAGCCUGAUGCAGCCAUGCCGCGUGUGUGAAGAAGGCCUUCGGGUUGUAAAGCACUUUCAGCGGGGAGGAAGGCGGUGAGGUUAAUAACCUCAUCGAUUGACGUUACCCGCAGAAGAAGCACCGGCUAACUCCGUGCCAGCAGCCGCGGUAAUACGGAGGGUGCAAGCGUUAAUCGGAAUUACUGGGCGUAAAGCGCACGCAGGCGGUCUGUCAAGUCGGAUGUGAAAUCCCCGGGCUCAACCUGGGAACUGCAUUCGAAACUGGCAGGCUAGAGUCUUGUAGAGGGGGGUAGAAUUCCAGGUGUAGCGGUGAAAUGCGUAGAGAUCUGGAGGAAUACCGGUGGCGAAGGCGGCCCCCUGGACAAAGACUGACACUCAGGUGCGAAAGCGUGGGGAGCAAACAGGAUUAGAUACCCCUGUAGUC